Molecule: non-coding RNA, 28 nt
Filed under: Rattus norvegicus (Norway rat)
Lineage: Eukaryota; Metazoa; Chordata; Mammalia; Rodentia; Muridae
Source: RNAcentral
CUUUACCUCAUGGGAUGAACCCUACAGA